UUCCCCAAUGAAGCAGGAAUAGAGCCAUUAAGAGCAUUCUCACCCAAAUCUAGGUAAGUAAGAGACCUUAGGUAACUUAUUUCUUCAGGAAUAGAGCCAGAAAGCUUAUUAUUGUAAAGAUCCAACCUAGACAAGUUGUUUAGAUUCCCCAAUGAAGCAGGAAUAGAGCCAUUAAGAGCAUUCUCACCCAAAUCUAGGUAAGUAAGAGACCUUAGGUAACCUAUUUCUUCAGGAAUAGAGCCAGAAAGCUUAUUAUUGUAAAGAUCCAACCUAGACAAGUUGUUUAGAUUCCCCAAUGAAGCAGGAAUAGAGCCAUUAAGAGCAUUCUCACCCAAAUCUAGGUAAGUAAGAGACCUUAGGUAACCUAUUUCUUCAGGAAUAGAGCCAGAAAGCUUAUUAUUGUAAAGAUCCAACCUAGACAAGUUGUUUAGAUUCCCCAAUGAAGCAGGAAUAGAGCCAUUAAGAGCAUUCUCACCCAAAUCUAGGUAAGUAAGAGACCUUAGGUAACCUAUUUCUUCAGGAAUAGAGCCAGAAAGCUGAUUAUUGUAAAGAUACAAAAAAGACAAGUUGUUCAGAUUCCCCAAUGAAGCAGGAAUGGAACCACUAAGAAAGUUGAUAUCCAAAGAUAGCUUAGUAAGAGACCUUAGGUAACCUAUUUCUUCAGGAAUAAAGCCAGAAAGCUGAUUUUCAUAAAGAAAUAAAAAAGACAAGUUGGUCAUAUUGCCCAAUGAAGCAGGAAUAGAACCACUAAGAAAGUUGAUACCCAAAGAUAGCUUAGUAAGAGACCUUAGGUAACCUAUUUCUUCAGGAAUAAAGCCAUUUAAAUGAUUGU
RNAcentral lists this long non-coding RNA (832 nucleotides) under Solanum lycopersicum (tomato). RNAcentral's name for it is "long non-coding RNA (SLYC_LNC000265)". The record is from RNAcentral. Lineage: Eukaryota; Viridiplantae; Streptophyta; Magnoliopsida; Solanales; Solanaceae.